This 258-nucleotide ribosomal RNA is filed under the name uncultured bacterium. RNAcentral describes it as "partial 16S ribosomal RNA". The record is from RNAcentral.
CUGCUGCCUUCCGUAGGAGUCUGGGCCGUGUCUCAGUCCCAAUGUGGCCGUCCGCCCUCUCAGGCCGGCUACUGAUCGUCGCCUUGGUGGGCCGUUACCCCGCCAACUGGCUAAUCAGACGCGGAUCCAUCGUAUACCGCCGGAGCUUUUCACACUGUCCCAUGCGGGACCGUGCGCUUAUGCGGUAUUAGCACCUGUUUCCAGGUGUUAUCCCCCUGUAUACGGCAGGUUAUCCACGCGUUACUCACCCGUCCGCCA